GAUGAACGCUGGCGGCGUGCCUAAUACAUGCAAGUCGAGCGAACAGACGAGGAGCUUGCUCCUUCGACGUUAGCGGCGGACGGGUGAGUAACACGUAGGUAACCUAACUAUAAGACUGGGAUAACUUCGGGAAACCGGAGCUAAUACCGGAUAAUAUUUCGAACCGCAUGGUUCGAUAGUGAAAGAUGGCUUUGCUAUCACUUAUAGAUGGACCUGCGCCGUAUUAGCUAGUUGGUAAGGUAACGGCUUACCAAGGCAACGAUACGUAGCCGACCUGAGAGGGUGAUCGGCCACACUGGAACUGAGACACGGUCCAGACUCCUACGGGAGGCAGCAGUAGGGAAUCUUCCGCAAUGGGCGAAAGCCUGACGGAGCAACGCCGCGUGAGUGAUGAAGGUCUUCGGAUCGUAAAACUCUGUUAUUAGGGAAGAACAAACGUGUAAGUAACUGUGCACGUCUUGACGGUACCUAAUCAGAAAGCCACGGCUAACUACGUG
This 497-nucleotide ribosomal RNA is filed under the name uncultured bacterium. Its description in RNAcentral is "partial 16S ribosomal RNA". It matches the Rfam family "Bacterial small subunit ribosomal RNA", at positions 28 to 507 of the family's 1533-position model. The record is from RNAcentral.